Non-coding RNA from Pelobates cultripes (western spadefoot toad), 350 nucleotides. Lineage: Eukaryota; Metazoa; Chordata; Amphibia; Anura; Pelobatidae. The record is from the annotation of a GenBank genome assembly.
GCAGUGACCGUGGCAGUGGAGGAGGAGGAUGAGGUAGCCAACACUAUUUUUAUAUAUAUAUAUAUAUUUUAAUUGGGGUAGCCCCCAAAAUAUUGGGACAUAUAUAAAAAGACAACUCUGUUCCGCAGAGUAGCUGUUGAAAUUAUAGUUGUGCAGGCACUUUAUUGACUCUAGAGAACCUCGGGCCAAUGGUACAUCCCCGUGGCAGCGACUUUGCAUGCGGAUGUCAUCCAUAUCAACUUUCGAUGCCAAUUUCUGCGCCUACCAUGGUGACCACGGGUAACAGGGAAUCGGGGUUCCAUUCCGUACAGGGACCCUGAGAAACGGCUACCACAUGCAAGGAAGGCAGC